Molecule: transfer RNA, 72 nt
Filed under: Urocitellus parryii (Arctic ground squirrel)
Lineage: Eukaryota; Metazoa; Chordata; Mammalia; Rodentia; Sciuridae
Also listed under: 2 other names
Description: Spermophilus parryii (Arctic ground squirrel) tRNA
Rfam family: tRNA
About the family: Transfer RNA (tRNA) molecules are approximately 80 nucleotides in length. Their secondary structure includes four short double-helical elements and three loops (D, anti-codon, and T loops).
Source: Rfam by way of RNAcentral
UAUGAUAUGGCUCAGUGGUACAGCACUUACCUGGCAUGCAAGAGGCCCUGGGUUCCAUAUCCAGCACCAAAA